This is a long non-coding RNA of Eriocheir sinensis (Chinese mitten crab), 683 nucleotides long. RefSeq lists it as uncharacterized. The record is from RefSeq and is a predicted model, not a curated record. NCBI's taxonomy places the organism in Eukaryota, Metazoa, Arthropoda, Malacostraca, Decapoda, Varunidae. The transcript has 3 exons.
GCCUGCGGCUGGCGGCACGAGGCACUACAUUUUGAGGUGUGACCCAACUGUGAGAGAGCUGAGUCACAAGACAAGCUAAAAUUAGAAUGGGGAAUAUACACAGUGAGAGACAGACACCAUGCAAUGAUAUGCUAUCGUUGUCAGGGAUACGGCCACCUUGAGGCCAACUGUACUGCCCAGACCAAUGGAGACGCCCCAGAUUGUUUCAAAUGUGCUGGCAAUCAUAAAUCACAGGAGUGCGCCAAGGCUGAGAAGAAAUGCAUAAGCUGUGUGAGGGACAUGUUCCUCCAGUAUCUCUCUUUGGUGCCGUUAUCUGACCUAAUCUGCGGGAUCAGAGUGCAGGGUCUUCUUAUCAGCACCGCCUGACGGUGUCGUGCGUGGCACAAUAGCAGUGGCCCAGACACUCGCGGCGUGAUAUUUAGCACGACACCGCCUCAUAGCCACCAGUGACCGACUCCAGCAUAGCCGAGGCGCGCCUUCCUGAAGACCUGACAGACACCACCGCGGCGAGGGGCGCUGCGUCACCACCACCGCGGCCAGCAGGAGGUUGUCAGGCCACCACCACCACCACCGCGGCCAGCAGGAGGUUGUCAGGCCACCACCACCACCACCGCGGCCAGCAGGAGGUUGUCAGGCCACCACCACCACCACCGCGGCCAGCAGGAGGUUGUCAGGCCGCCACC